This 468-nucleotide ribosomal RNA is filed under the name uncultured bacterium. RNAcentral describes it as "bacterial SSU rRNA". It matches the Rfam family "Bacterial small subunit ribosomal RNA", at positions 28 to 484 of the family's 1533-position model. The record is from RNAcentral.
GAUGAACGCUAGCUACAGGCUUAACACAUGCAAGUCGAGGGGAAACGACAUUGGAAGCUUGCUUCCGAUGGGCGUCGACCGGCGCACGGGUGAGUAACGCGUAUCCAACCUGCCCACCACUUGGAGAUAACCUUGCGAAAGUAAGACUAAUAUCCCAUAUGAUGGCGAUCUGCAUGGAUUGUCAUUGAAAGAUUCAUCGGUGACGGAUAGGCUCGCGGGGCAUUAGCUAGACGGCGGGGCAACGGCCCACCGUGGCGACGAUGCCUAGGGGUUCUGAGAGGAAGACCCCCCACACUGGGACUGAGACACGGCCCAGACUCCUACGGGAGGCAGCAGUGAGGAAUAUUGGUCAAUGGGCGGAAGCCUGAACCAGCCAUGCCGCGUGAAGGACUAAGGCCCUAUGGGUCGUAAACUUCUUUAGACGCAGAGCAAUAAGGGUCUCGUGAGAUCCGAUGAGAGUAUGCGUAG